CCGAACCCUAGCCUUACGCCGCCGCUAACGCUUCCUCCGUUCGGUGGUGCAGUGGUCGGUGCGCCUCCCUUCUCCUCUCUCUCUCUCUUUUUUUUCUUUUCUCUUCUCUUUUCUCCCUUCUUUUUCCUUUUGGUUGCUGUUUUUUUUUCUUUUUUACUUGCUGUUUUUUUUUUCUUUUUUGCUUGUUGCCUUGCUUGAUUGUGUUGUAGGUGCUGGCGGUGGAAGGAAAGCAAGGGCACGGUGGUGGUGAAGGGCGGCCGGAUUUUUGAACUCUUUCUUUUGUUUUUUUUUCUGCUGCUGCUUUUUUUGUUUUGCUUUUCUUUUUGAUUAAUUGUGGCUUUCAAGUGGUUGAGGUAAGGGGAAAAAGAUGGUGGCGGUAGUUGCGUGAUGGUGGUGAGGGCCCUUUUGCUGCUGUUUUCUUGGUGUUUUUGCUGCUAUUUUCUUUCAUUUUUUUUUACUUUCUCCAUGUUUUACUCUUGUUUACUUUUUUUUUUUUGAGGGUUUUUCACGUGAAAUGUUUGUGUUCGAUCUUCUCCACUUUUACUAUCUCGUUGUUUAUGCUAGUCGAUCCCCAAUAGAUAGCAAACAUAGGGCAUGUUUAGUAGCACUUAAAAAAAACACUUCUGGCUCCAAAAAUAUUUUUAAAAGAAAAGUUGUGCUAAAUAAGUUGCUUUUGGCUAAAUUUUUUUUGCUCAAAAACACUUUUGAAAAGAAAAAGCUAAAAUUUUUUAGCUUUGCUUUCACAAAAACAUUUUUGAUGCUUAAUUACUUUUUAUCCCUCCAAUAAUAUAGUACUUUCCCUUUUUUUCUUUUAAUUGCUUAAUUACAAAUGUGUUAAAAUCAUUCAUUAAAAUAAAAUAAAAAAUAUUUUUUAAAAUAUUAAUUACAAAUAUUUAAUUGUUAUAUUUAAAUAUUUAAAAUAUGAUUUAUAUAUUUUAAUUAAACUUUUUAAAUAAUUAAUAUUUAUUGUUUAAAAUAUUUAAAUUUAUAUUGCAUAUAUUUAAAUAUGAAAAAAUAACAAGGAAAUGGAAAUUAUGGAAUUGAUAAGCUCAUCAAUCAUGGUAUAAAUUACUGAUACAUAGAAAUUGUUGGACUAAUUUGAAUGUUGAGUUUGUGCAUGAUAAGGGAAUAAUGUAUGGAAUGGGUGUAUGAAUAUUUAUUGCAUUGUAUUGAAAAUAUUAGGUAAGUAUAAUCCUUGUUACAUGAACUUACUAAGCAUAAAGUGCUUACCUGUUUCUUUUUCUCUUAUUUUGUAGUGUUAAGAGCUCGGAGGUUGGAUUCGGUUAGAGACGUAUCACACUAUCAACCUCAAGAUCUCGGUAUAUAAAGAAACUUUAUUUUGGAAAUCGAUGGCAUUUAUAAGCUAGUAAAGUAAAUGUUAAUGUGAAAUGAAUGAAUGGUUAGCCAUUGGUAUGACUAACAAAUUUUGGUUUUGGUAUGUGAUGAGGUUAUCUUAUGAAGACGUUAAAUCUAUCUUGAAAAUAUGUUGAAAUUGAUUGGUUGUGUUGGUUUGGUCUCGGUUUAAAAUUGC
Molecule: long non-coding RNA, 1531 nt
Filed under: Gossypium barbadense (sea-island cotton)
Lineage: Eukaryota; Viridiplantae; Streptophyta; Magnoliopsida; Malvales; Malvaceae
Description: long non-coding RNA (GBAR_LNC020528)
Source: RNAcentral